AUAAACUUUAGCGGAAUAAUGCGCACCAAUGCUAUCGAAGAUGGUCCUGCAGAAAACAGAAACCCCUUCCAAAAACCAUUCUCUCCGGAAUAAACAGCGUGGAGCCAUACUCUAGAGAUGACCAACGGCCAGCAGCAGCGGCUGGAAUCUGCCCUUGGAACUCAGGCCAGGACGGUCUUAGGGGGCUGGAUGAAGCCUGUUUCCUACAAACAAGAAGUGGGGGACAUGGAAUGGGUUUGUGCUCAGGAGGCCCCCGCAGAGUCCUGCUCAGUCUCCCCGCCCCCACCUUGGGAGGCAUCUCCGUCUUGAGGAGAACAGGUGUUAGCGCAGAGCAGCUGUGGAGAGCACUGCCGACUCCCCUGCAUGUCUGCCUCGCUCCUGCCUGCACACUGCAACUGCUCCUGUCUAAAAACAGACACCCACUGCUGGUGGGAAUGUAAGCUGGUACAACCACUAUG
This is a long non-coding RNA of Phacochoerus africanus (Common warthog), 458 nucleotides long. RefSeq lists it as uncharacterized. The transcript is spliced from 3 exons. Lineage: Eukaryota; Metazoa; Chordata; Mammalia; Artiodactyla; Suidae. The record is from RefSeq and is a predicted model, not a curated record.